Molecule: non-coding RNA, 102 nt
Filed under: Betaproteobacteria bacterium
Lineage: Bacteria; Pseudomonadati; Pseudomonadota; Betaproteobacteria
Description: TPP sequence
Rfam family: TPP riboswitch aptamer (THI element)
About the family: Vitamin B(1) in its active form thiamin pyrophosphate (TPP) is an essential coenzyme that is synthesised by coupling of pyrimidine and thiazole moieties in bacteria. The previously detected thiamin-regulatory element, thi box was extended, resulting in a new, highly conserved RNA secondary structure, the THI element, which is widely distributed in eubacteria and also occurs in some archaea. Analysis of operon structures identified a large number of new candidate thiamin-regulated genes, mostly transporters, in various prokaryotic organisms.
Source: RNAcentral
GCUGCAACGUAGGGGUCCUGCGCCUGCCGGGCGCGGGUGAGAACACACCCUCCGAACCUGAUGCGGGUAAUGCCGCCGAAGGGAAGCGUUGAUGCCCGUCUU